AUUGAACGCUGGCGGCAGGCCUAACACAUGCAAGUCGAACGGUAACAGGAUACAGCUUGCUGUUUCGCUGACGAGUGGCGGACGGGUGAGUAAUGUCUGGGAAACUGCCUGAUGGAGGGGGAUAACUACUGGAAACGGUAGCUAAUACCGCAUAACGUCGCAAGACCAAAGAGGGGGACCUUCGGGCCUCUUGCCAUCGGAUGUGCCCAGAUGGGAUUAGCUAGUAGGUGGGGUAAAGGCUCACCUAGGCGACGAUCCCUAGCUGGUCUGAGAGGAUGACCAGCCACACUGGAACUGAGACACGGUCCAGACUCCUACGGGAGGCAGCAGUGGGGAAUAUUGCACAAUGGGCGCAAGCCUGAUGCAGCCAUGCCGCGUGUAUGAAGAAGGCCUUCGGGUUGUAAAGUACUUUCAGCGGGGAGGAAGGGAGUAAAGUUAAUACCUUUGCUCAUUGACGUUACCCGCAGAAGAAGCACCGGCUAACUCCGUG
RNAcentral lists this ribosomal RNA (490 nucleotides) under uncultured bacterium. RNAcentral describes it as "partial 16S ribosomal RNA". It matches the Rfam family "Bacterial small subunit ribosomal RNA", at positions 30 to 507 of the family's 1533-position model. The record is from RNAcentral.